UUUGGGUCCAACAUACCACUCUGCUCUCCUGAGGUUCAGACAGCUGGGUGGCUCUUGGGUAGACCAGGCAGUUAGUGGCACUGCAGGUAAGUCCAGUUUUGUCCCUGCCGGGGGGACAUAACGUACAAAGUUAUCUUAGCAGGAGCAUUCCCACUGCUUUUUGGUUCUGAAGUUUAGCAUCUAAGCCACAGUUCUAGAGAAAAUGGCUCGCUCACCUCUGCCUUUUCUUGGCAGCUCUGACAUGCUUCCUAGAAGGUUCUGUGAGAAUACCAGCUGCUUUGAUAAUGCAGUUGGCACUGUGGAGGCCGCACUGCCUUACCUCUCUAGAAAGCCCUUACCCCUCUGCCCCACUACCUCUUAUUGAUUUGGUAUUUGCUUGAAUGCUGGCACCGUGCUGCCUGUUGGGUGGGUGUAUAGGUGGUCGACCUGCAGUCUGCAGACAGCGGGGAGUGGUCACUAGGAGGGGCAACUAGGAUUCCCAGGCUCGUGUGCCUCUGGCUGGCCAUGGCUCCACCCUUCAGCCUGUUUGCCUCCCCUCGGGUCCAGCUGCUUUGUGAUUUUGCAGCAGACAGACUGGGAAGAAGUCAGCUCCUUGGGGCUUAUGUGAUGAUGGCUCUCGGGCUGAGGGAUCGCCUCACAGUGCUAGGUUCUCACAGCUUUUACACCAAUUCCAACUCACAGGAAAGACUCUCUGGAGCUUCAUAUCAAACACUUCUGUUAGGAACAGCAGAGCAAUUCAGAGUCUGAUAAAGGCUGGUGGCCUAUAUCACUGCCUGCCCUCAUGCUCAGGAGAGGUGACAUCGGUCACAGUCAGAGCACAAUGGUGGCAGAGCCCAAACUCAACCAGUGCUCCUGAAAUAAAUGCUGGAAGUGUAAGAGUUGUUGCCUGAUAUUCUGGCCCAGUCAAGGAGGGACUUGGGAAGGAGCCAUGAGCUUGGAUUUCUUGUUUCUAUUCUGUCUGAUGUACAAAGAAAAGGGUUUAGUUACGACAAAGCUAAAACAAAACUAAACUAAUGGUACGACUCUUACUGCAUGUGAAAGUUUCCGGCCUGAGGG
Molecule: long non-coding RNA, 1056 nt
Filed under: Rattus norvegicus (Norway rat)
Lineage: Eukaryota; Metazoa; Chordata; Mammalia; Rodentia; Muridae
Description: long non-coding RNA NONRATT017946
Source: RNAcentral